AGGGUGUCUGGAGUGGCGUUCGCUUGCGAUAGUAGCCUAGAGAUGGUCAAGAGUAGAAGGGGAGACUGGAGAGAGAUGGUAUUGGUAUCAGGUGAUUUCCAGAAAUAUGGUUACCCUUUUGUUUCCCUUUUAGUCUUUGGGAAAAACAGGAAGAAGAGUUGUCAGGCGAGUUCGCAGAUUGUCAAACGCCUCCUUGCAAACUAUCACCAUAUGAUUUUCCAUGCUUCAUGCUAAGUGGUGAACUGAACUCUUUAUUUUGAAAGCCAUUUCACCGAAAAGUUUAAUGUUCUUGUGGUCAUCAUAGAUAUCGUUUCGUCAACAAAGAUUAAAAAGAAAAAAAAAACAAACUAUUAGAAAACUUAAAGGUUGUUUCAGAUGAAAUUAGGAUUAAAGUAUGACUUUACAUGCUGUGGAAUGUAGUUAAUCCCAGAAACUAGGAAACUAGUAAGUAAUGAUAUGGUUCUUCUUGAUGAGAAGGUGCGUCAAAUGAUUCUAUAUCUUAACUAUCUUGCUUAUUAGUUGAAUUUUCAUUUACCCUUUUGUCUAUUAUUUAGAAUGAACUGAUCCCUUGGACUAAUCAAGUUACAACAUGCGUUAUCGUCUUCAAGAUUUGCUCUAAUGGAAGAGGAAAUACGUAUUUGGUGGAGGAAUUUUCAAAUGUUAAGAACAAGGACACUAAUUGUGUUGUUAUUGUUAGUAAUAACAAGCUAACGAUUCACUUUUCAUGCCAACGUAGCCGGGGAAGAAAUUGGAGAUGAUGACAUGACAAUAUCUCUGAUAGAUUCGACUUCAUUGAGUAUCAAAACCAAUGUAGUAAGAUCGAAAAAGAUGAUGUGUUCGUAAGUGUUAGCUUUGAUCUAAUUAUUAUAUCUAAGGCGAUUUUCCAAAACAUAAGGGUAGGAACUACUGAUAACAAAUGUCAUUGGCCAAAUUAUGAAAGGAGCAAUGAGCUUGAGAAAGGCCAAUGAAGCCAAAAUGAAAAGCAUCCCUAAGCUUAAAGAUAAGAGGUAUAGUAUGAUAAUAAACGCUACGUCUGCUAAUGAUUGGAUAACUGGCACCCCUUGGGGAUCUUGGUAGAUAGAUUUCCUUCUAGAGUUCUGUAGACUCAGAUAUUCAAAAGAAUGCUAAGGUGGCUGCUGUAACAGAGGGAACUUUGGUUGGAUCUGGCCUUCUCCCAUAUCUGAGGAUCUACUUGCCAUUCAAGUUGCUGUCCGUGGAGUUAUAUUCCCCAGGUCUAAUGCUGUGGAUCUGGUAAAAUUCCUUGGUGCUCAUCAUGGGAAGUUGAAUAAAAAAGAAGCCUGGACGUUACUAAGCCCUCCGGGUGGCCAAGGUUUAGCGGCACAAACUCAUAUGCUUUAGGCCCAGUGUUCUGAAGCACGCUCUUAUCAAAAGGCUUGCUACUUUACAUAGAAUGCAGAUCCAAGAUAGGAUGAAUGGCAGUGUUCAAUUGAUGGGUGCUUGUCUGCUGUGAGAGAAGGAAGAUGAAACAAGAGAGCAUUCACUUUUCCAAUGCUCUUUCUGAAGACAAAUUUGGUUGAAGGGGAUGAUAGUUGAAGAUGAGUGCGCAGAUGCUACACAUAUUGGGUCCACAACUCCGAUAUCGGUAGGAUAUGGAGGGGGUGCUUUCUUGUUCUCUUUCAAGCGAACCGCUGAUGACGACUGCUUCAAAUCGGUGUGUUCUUGGAGAGAAUUCUAAUUUAAUCACCCUCUUUCUCCUUUUUUAUCUUUAUUUAGAAAAAGGCGGCAUGAGAAGAUUGGUGCCGUAAAUCACAACAAAAUUCCUGAGCUGCCUAUUUCAUUUCAUGCAUGUAGCAGCACAUGUUAAGAUUUUCAGACACAAUAUUUCGUGUUUGACCCCAAAGAAGUCGAUUAAGUUUAAACCUAAGAUGCACUAGAAUUGUGAUAUCGUUGACAUGCAGAUCCUUGAAUCUUGUUCAAAUAUGCAAUAGCAUGAUCUCUUCUAGUCA
Molecule: long non-coding RNA, 1967 nt
Organism: Syzygium oleosum
Lineage: Eukaryota; Viridiplantae; Streptophyta; Magnoliopsida; Myrtales; Myrtaceae
Exons: 2
Source: RefSeq, a predicted model, not a curated record